GACGAACGCUGGCGGCGUGCUUAACACAUGCAAGUCGAACGGAAAGGCCCUGCUUUUGUGGGGUGCUCGAGUGGCGAACGGGUGAGUAACACGUGAGUAACCUGCCCUUGACUUUGGGAUAACUUCAGGAAACUGGGGCUAAUACCGGAUAGGAGCUCCUGCUGCAUGGUGGGGGUUGGAAAGUUUCGGCGGUUGGGGAUGGACUCGCGGCUUAUCAGCUUGUUGGUGGGGUAGUGGCUUACCAAGGCUUUGACGGGUAGCCGGCCUGAGAGGGUGACCGGCCACAUUGGGACUGAGAUACGGCCCAGACUCCAACGGGAGGCAGCAGUGGGGAAUAUUGCACAAUGGGCGGAAGCCUGAUGCAGCAAAGCCGCGUGCGGGAUGACGGCCUUCGGGUUGUAAACCGAUUUCGCCUGUGACGAAGCGUGAGUGACGGUAAUGGGUAAAGAAGCACCGGCUAACUACGUG
RNAcentral lists this ribosomal RNA (468 nucleotides) under uncultured bacterium. RNAcentral describes it as "partial 16S ribosomal RNA". It matches the Rfam family "Bacterial small subunit ribosomal RNA", at positions 28 to 507 of the family's 1533-position model. The record is from RNAcentral.